GGGGCCCACACCCCAACUUGCAUUGCCUGUAGAAUUUCUUUUCGAAAUUCUCUUUGUUGGGGCCCACACCCCAACUUGCAUUGCCUGUAGAAUUUCUUUUCGAAAUUCUCUUUGUUGGGGCCCCUGACUAGAAUUGAAAAAAGCUUGUUACAAGCGCAUUUUCGUUCAGUCAACUACUGCCAAUAUAACUUCGUAGAGCAUAGAACAUUGAUUUAU
Molecule: non-coding RNA, 216 nt
Filed under: Staphylococcus aureus
Lineage: Bacteria; Bacillati; Bacillota; Bacilli; Caryophanales; Staphylococcaceae
Description: Staphylococcus sRNA 35 (srn_0335)
Rfam family: Staphylococcus sRNA 35 (srn_0335)
About the family: Other name: Srn_0335, SAOUHSCs258.
Source: RNAcentral